GCGGCGGCGGCGGCGGGGGACUCCGACUCUUGAGACGCGGAUGCAUUCUCCGUGGAAGACCCAGUGCAGAAGGUGUGGGGCGGCGGCACUGCUGGCGGGGAGCGCUGGGAAGGCGAGGACUAAGACGAGGGCGUCAACGAUAACUGGGAUGACGAUCAAGACUUAAAAAAAGAAGAAGCAGAAGUAAAACCGGAGGUAAAAAGUUCAGAAAAGAAAAAAACAGCAGAGAAGAUAAAAGAGAAAGAACGGCAACAGAAGAAAAGCAAGAAGAAAUUAAAAAGAGGUUAAAAGAACCUGAAGAACCUAAAGUGCUAACACCAGAAGAACAAUUAGCAGAUAAACUGGGGCUAAAUAAAUUACAGGAAGAGUCAGACCUCGAAUUAGCAAAGGAAACUUUUGGUGUUAAUAGUACAGUUUAUGGAAUAGAUGCUAUGAACCCAUCUUCAAGAGAUGAUUUUACAGAGUUUGGAAAGUUACUAAAAGAUAAAAUUACACAAAAUGAAAAGUCACUAUAUGAUGUCUUUUUUUUUUUGGAAAUCUUAGUUCGAGAUGUGUGUAUUUCAUUGGAAAUUGAUAACUUGAAAAAGAUUACCAAUUCACUGACUGUACUUUGCCGUAAAAACAGAAGCAAGAAAAACCAAAAAGAAGAAGAAAGGUGUGGUUCCUGGAGAGGGAUAAAAGCCACCAUGAAAGAUGAUCUGGCAGAUUAUGGUGGUUAUGAUGGAGGU
This 728-nucleotide long non-coding RNA is filed under the name Homo sapiens (human). RNAcentral's name for it is "non-protein coding lnc-RNF13-5:1". Lineage: Eukaryota; Metazoa; Chordata; Mammalia; Primates; Hominidae. The record is from RNAcentral.